Molecule: small nuclear RNA, 19 nt
Filed under: Arabidopsis thaliana (thale cress)
Lineage: Eukaryota; Viridiplantae; Streptophyta; Magnoliopsida; Brassicales; Brassicaceae
Description: snRNA_04687
Source: RNAcentral
CAUGCCUGUCGGGACCCGA